UUCCAGACUCCUACGGGAGGCAGCAGUGGGGGAUAUUGCACAAUGGGGGAAACCCUGAUGCAGCAACGCCGCGUGAGUGAAGAAGUAUUUCGGUAUGUAAAGCUCUAUCAGCAGGGAAGAGAAUGACGGUACCUGACUAAGAAGCCCCGGCUAACUACGUGCCAGCAGCCGCGGUAAUACGUAGGGGGCGAGCGUUAUCCGGAUUCACUGGGCGUAAAGGGAGCGCAGGCGGCACGGCAAGUCCGGUGUGAAAGCCCGGGGCCCAACCCCGGGACUGCACUGGAAACUGCCGGGCUGGAGUGUCGGAGGGGCAGGCGGAAUUCCUAGUGUAGCGGUGAAAUGCGUAGAUAUUAGGAGGAACACCGGUGGCGAAGGCGGCCUGCUGGACGACGACUGACGCUGAGGCUCGAAAGUGUGGGGAGCAAACAGGAUUAGAUACCCCGGUAACA
This 449-nucleotide ribosomal RNA is filed under the name uncultured bacterium. Its description in RNAcentral is "bacterial SSU rRNA". It matches the Rfam family "Bacterial small subunit ribosomal RNA", at positions 329 to 795 of the family's 1533-position model. The record is from RNAcentral.